RNAcentral lists this ribosomal RNA (699 nucleotides) under uncultured bacterium. Its description in RNAcentral is "bacterial SSU rRNA". It matches the Rfam family "Bacterial small subunit ribosomal RNA", at positions 1 to 680 of the family's 1533-position model. The record is from RNAcentral.
AGGAGUUUGAUCCUGGCUCAGAACGAACGCUGGCGGCGUGCUUAAGACAUGCAAGUCGUGCGAGAAAGUCACCUUCGGGUGGCGAGUAGAGCGGCGCACGGGUGAGUAACGCGUGGGUAAUCUGCCCAAAGGUCUGGGAUAACUCCGGGAAACUGGUGCUAAUACCGGAUAAGACCACGAAGUCUUCGGACUUUGCGGAAAAAGGUAGCCUCUCCUUGGAAGCUAGUGCCUUUGGAUGAGCCCGCGUCCCAUUAGCUUGUUGGUAGGGUAACGGCCUACCAAGGCUUCGAUGGGUAGCUGGUCUGAGAGGAUGAUCAGCCACACUGGAACUGAGACACGGUCCAGACUCCUACGGGAGGCAGCAGUCGGGAAUUUUGGGCAAUGGGCGAAAGCCUGACCCAGCAACGCCGCGUGAGGGAUGAAGGCCUUCGGGUCGUAAACCUCUGUCGAGAGGGAAGAACUGUCAGCGGUCCAAUAGGCCGCUGAUUUGACGGUACCUCCAAAGGAAGCUCCGGCUAACUCCGUGCCAGCAGCCGCGGUAAUACGGAGGGAGCAAGCGUUGUUCGGAAUCAUUGGGCGUAAAGCGGGUGUAGGUGGCUUGGAAAGUCGGAUGUGAAAUCCCAGGGCUCAACCCUGGAACUGCAUUCGAAACUUCCUGGCUAGAGUCCCGGAGAGGAAGGCAGAAUUCCCGGUGUAGAG